Molecule: ribosomal RNA, 396 nt
Filed under: uncultured bacterium
Lineage: Bacteria
Description: partial 16S ribosomal RNA
Rfam family: Bacterial small subunit ribosomal RNA
Source: RNAcentral
AUACGUAGGUGGCAAGCGUUGUCCGGAAUUAUUGGGCGUAAAGCGCAUGUAGGCGGUGCCUUAAGUCUGUCGUGAAACUGCGGGGCCUAACCCCGUAUGGCGAUGGAAACUGUGGCACUUGAGUGCAGGAGAGGAAAGGGGAACUCCCAGUGAAGCGGUGAAAUGCGUACAUAUUGGGAAGAACACCGUUGGCGAAGGCGCAUUUCUGGACUGUUACUGACGCUGAGAUGAGAAAGCCAGGGUAUCGAACUGGAUUAGAUACCCCGGUAGUCCGGGCCGUAAACGAGGGGUACUAGGUUUGGGAGGUAUCGCCCCCUUCCGUGCCGGAGUUAACGCAAUAAGUACCCCGCCUGGGGAGUACGGCCGCAAGGCUUAAACUCAAAUGAAUUCACGGGG